RNAcentral lists this long non-coding RNA (524 nucleotides) under Mytilus galloprovincialis (Mediterranean mussel). Lineage: Eukaryota; Metazoa; Mollusca; Bivalvia; Mytilida; Mytilidae. The record is from RNAcentral.
UCCCAAUGAUCCAUUUCCUUUUUUCACCAAUUUCUAUUGUUUUAAACUUAGAUUUAAAACACAAUGUGUUUUUAUGUUUCUGAGUAUAGGUACUCACCUUAAGCUUGAUGACAAAUCAUAGUGUGAUGCACUGAGUUGUGUUACCUUUUGUGAUCUUGUUGCUGUUAACUUCUUUUUUAUGUAACUAUUAUUGAUGACUUCUUACCUUGUUUAAACCUUUUUUUUAUUUUUGCCUUUUUCACUUUUUCAAAAGACGUUGUGCAAACAUACCGUUGGUACGAGUGAUUUUAAUACAAAUCUUUACCUAAACGCUUUAGUAAAGUACUCUUGGUAUUUUUGUAUCAAAUAAGUCACUAAACACAAAGUAAAUGUAACAUUACUAAAUAUAUGUGUGCAGUGGUAUCAAAUAAUACAUUACACUCUAGUGUUUACUGAAAUCUCUGUUUACAUAUGUACAUUGCUAUGAAAUAAGUGACAAGUUUACUUAAAUCUCUAUUAACAAGUGCACAUUGUUAUUGAAUAAG